This 433-nucleotide ribosomal RNA is filed under the name uncultured bacterium. RNAcentral describes it as "partial 16S ribosomal RNA". It matches the Rfam family "Bacterial small subunit ribosomal RNA", at positions 29 to 507 of the family's 1533-position model. The record is from RNAcentral.
AACGAACGCUGGCGGCAUGCCUAACACAUGCAAGUCGAACGAGACCUUCGGGUCUAGUGGCGCACGGGUGCGUAACGCGUGGGAACCUGCCCUUAGGUUCGGAAUAACUCCCCGAAAGGGGUGCUAAUACCGGAUCAUGUCUUCGGACCAAAGAUUUAUCGCCUUUGGAUGGGCCCGCGUUGGAUUAGCUAGUUGGUAGGGUAAAACCCUACCAAGGCGACGAUCCAUAGCUGGUCUGAGAGGAUGAUCAGCCACACUGGGACUGAGACACGGCCCAGACUCCUACGGGAGGCAGCAGUGGGGAAUAUUGGACAAUGGGCGAAAGCCUGAUCCAGCAAUGCCGCGUGAGUGAUGAAGGCCUUAGGGUUGUAAAGCUCUUUUACCCGGGAUGAUAAUGACAGUACCGGGAGAAUAAGCGCCGGCUAACUCCGUG